RNAcentral lists this ribosomal RNA (485 nucleotides) under uncultured bacterium. RNAcentral's name for it is "partial 16S ribosomal RNA". It matches the Rfam family "Bacterial small subunit ribosomal RNA", at positions 28 to 507 of the family's 1533-position model. The record is from RNAcentral.
GAUGAACGCUGGCGGCGUGCUUAACACAUGCAAGUCGAACGGGAUCCAAGGGGUGCUUGCACUUUUUGGUGAGAGUGGCGAACGGGUGAGUAACACGUGAGUAACCUGUCCUUUUCUUUGGGAUAAGCAUUCGAAAGGGUGUUUAAUACCUUAUGUUCUGUCUGCCUCGCGUGGGGUGGGUGGGAAAGGCUUUGGCCGGAUUUGGGUGGGCUCGCGGUCUAUCAGCUUGUUGGUGGGGUGAUGGCUUACCAAGGCUUUGACGGGUAGCCGGCCUGAGAGGGUGGUCGGUCACAUUGGGACUGAGAUACGGCCCAGACUCCUGCGGGAGGCAGCAGUGGGGGAUAUUGCACAAUGGGCGAAAGCCUGAUGCAGCGACGCCGCGUGGGGGAUGAAGGCCUUCGGGUUGUAAACUUCUUUUGCUCUGAACAAGGCAUGCCAGUGGGUGUGUUGAGUGUAGGGGUUGAUUAGCGCCGGCUAACUACGUG